This 940-nucleotide ribosomal RNA is filed under the name uncultured bacterium. RNAcentral's name for it is "bacterial SSU rRNA". It matches the Rfam family "Bacterial small subunit ribosomal RNA", at positions 28 to 1015 of the family's 1533-position model. The record is from RNAcentral.
AACGUACGCUGGCGGCACGCCUAACACAUGCAAGUCGAGCGAGGUAGCAAUACCUAGCGGCAGACGGGUGCGUAACAUGUGGGAAUCUGCCUUUUGGUUCGGAACAACACGGGGAAACCUGUGCUAAUACCGGAUAAGUCCUUACGGAGAAAGUUUUAAUGCCAAAAGAUGAGCCCGCAUUUGAUUAGCUAGUUGGUGGGGUAAAGGCUCACCAAGGCGAUAAUCAAUAGCUGAUUUGAGAGGAUGAUCAGCCACACUGGGACUGAGAUACGGCCCAGACUCCUACGGGAGGCAGCAGUGGGGAAUCUUGCACAAUGGGCGAAAGCCUGAUGCAGCGAUGCCGCGUGAGUGAAGAAGGCCUUUGGGUUGUAAAGCUCUUUUGUCGGGAAAGAUAAUGACUGUACCCGAAGAAUAAGGUCCGGCUAACUUCGUGCCAGCAGCCGCGGUAAUACGAAAGGACCUAGCGUAGUUCGGAAUUACUGGGCGUAAAGAGUAUGUAGGCGGCUAGAUAAGUUAAUUGUGAAAGCCCAAAGCUUAACUUUGGAAUUGCAAUUAAAACUAUUUAGCUGGAGUAUGAUAGAGGAAAGCGGAAUACAUAGUGUAGAGGUGAAAUUCGUAGAUAUUAUGUAGAACACCAGUUGCGAAGGCGGCUUUCUGGAUCAUUACUGACGCUGAGAUACGAAAGUAUGGGUAGCGAAGAGGAUUAGAUACCCUCGUAGUCCAUACCAUAAACGAUGAUUAUUAGAUGUGGGGAAUUAUUUCUCUGUAUCAUAGCUAACGCGUUAAAUAAUCCGCCUGGGGAGUACGACCGCAAGGUUAAAACUCAAAUGAAUUGACGGGGACCCGCACAAGCGGUGGAGCAUGUGGUUUAAUUCGAAGCAACGCGCAGAACCUUACCAACCCUUGACAUGUUCGUCGCGAGACUAAGAAAUUAGUCUCU